This 253-nucleotide ribosomal RNA is filed under the name uncultured bacterium. RNAcentral describes it as "partial 16S ribosomal RNA". It matches the Rfam family "Bacterial small subunit ribosomal RNA", at positions 524 to 776 of the family's 1533-position model. The record is from RNAcentral.
UACGUAGGUGGCAAGCGUUGUCCGGAUUUACUGGGCGUAAAGAGCGCGCAGGCGGUCGUUCAAGUCGAAUGUGAAAGCCCCCGGCUCAACUGGGGAGGGUCAUUCGAUACUGUUCGACUCGAAGGCAGGAGAGGGAAGUGGAAUUCCGGGUGUAGUGGUGAAAUGCGUAGAUAUCCGGAGGAACACCAGUGGCGAAGGCGACUUUCUGGCCUGUUCUUGACGCUGAGGCGCGAAAGCUAGGGGAGCAAACGGG